Molecule: ribosomal RNA, 464 nt
Filed under: uncultured bacterium
Lineage: Bacteria
Description: partial 16S ribosomal RNA
Rfam family: Bacterial small subunit ribosomal RNA
Source: RNAcentral
GACGAACGCUGGCGGCGUGCUUAACACAUGCAAGUCGAACGGAAAGGCCCCUUUGGGGGUCCUCGAGUGGCGGACGGGUGCGUAACACGUGAGUAACCUUCCCUUUACUCCGGGAUAACUUCAGUAAACUAGGGCUACUACCGCUUAGGCAUCCUUGCUGCUUGGGGGGGGUUGAAAAGCUCCUGCGGUUUUGGAUGGACUCGCGGCUUGUCAGCUUGUUGGUGGGGUAGUGGCUUACAAAGGCUUUGACGGGUAGCCGGCCUGAGAGGGGGACCGGCCACAUUGGGACUGCGGUACGGCCCAGACUGGUACGGUAGGCAGCAGUGGGGAGUAUUGCACAAUGGGCGGAAGUCUGAUGCAGCAACGCCGCGUGCGGGAUGACGGCCUUCUGGUUGUAAACCGCUUUCAGCAGGGGCGAAGCUGUUGUGACGGUACCUGCAGAAGAAGCACCGGCUAACUACGUG